RNAcentral lists this ribosomal RNA (254 nucleotides) under uncultured bacterium. RNAcentral's name for it is "partial 16S ribosomal RNA". It matches the Rfam family "Bacterial small subunit ribosomal RNA", at positions 524 to 776 of the family's 1533-position model. The record is from RNAcentral.
UACGGAGGGGGCUAGCGUUGUUCGGAAUUACUGGGCGUAAAGCGCACGUAGGCGGUUUUGUAAGUUAGAGGUGAAAGCCUGGGGCUCAACUCCGGAAUUGCCUUUAAGACUGCAUCGCUAGAAUUGUGGAGAGGUAAGUGGAAUUCCGAGUGUAGAGGUGAAAUUCGUAGAUAUUCGGAAGAAACACCAGUGGCGAAGGCGACUUACUGGACACAUAUUGACGCUGAGGUGCGAAAGCGUGGGGAGCAAACAGG